GUACACGCUGUGACUAGCAUAUCAAUAAGCGGAGGAAAAGAAACUAACAAGGAUUCCCCUAGUAACGGCGAGUGAAGCGGGAAGAGCUCAAAUUUGAAAUCUUAAAGGGUUUCCCUUUACGAAUUGUAGUUUAAAGAAGUGUUUUCUGUUGAGGUUUUGGUAAAAGUUCUUUGGAAUAGGACAUCAUAGAGGGUGAGAAUCCCGUAUUUGACCUUUACUUUCAACUUUGUGAUACACUUUCAAAGAGUCGGAUUGUUUGGGAAUGCAGUCCAAAAUGGGUGGUAAAUUUCACUCUAAAGCUAAAUAUUGGCGAGAGACCGAUAGCGAACAAGUACCGUGAGGGAAAGAUGAAAAGAACUUUGAAAAGAGAGUUAAACAGUACGUGAAAUUGUCAAAAGGGAAGCGUUUGACACCAGUGUUGUUUUUCUGAAAAUCAGUUAAAGAACUGUUUAUGCUAGUUGUUUAGACUUUAUCAGCUAACUGUUUAGUUUUGAGCUUUUCUUUAAUGCACUUUUCAGUUAACAAGUCAACAUCAAUUUCUUUUGCUGUAAAAAAGCUUGAGGAAGGUGGCUUGAGAUUCGUCUUAAGUGUUUAUAGCCUCUUGCCUAUGCAGUCGGAGAGAUUGAGGUCUGCAGCGUAGAUCCUUCGGGGCUAAAUGCAUUUGUGCUAAGUUAUAGCAUUUUAUAGACAACUUGUUGACUAUGAUUUGUCUUGUAGCUUACUCGCUUAUGUUAUUUUACCUACGCUUAGGAUGUUGACUGAUAUGUAGUCGU
This 773-nucleotide ribosomal RNA is filed under the name uncultured Neocallimastigales. Its description in RNAcentral is "partial large subunit ribosomal RNA". It matches the Rfam family "Eukaryotic large subunit ribosomal RNA", at positions 22 to 643 of the family's 3401-position model. The record is from RNAcentral. Lineage: Eukaryota; Fungi; Neocallimastigomycota; Neocallimastigomycetes; Neocallimastigales.